UCGGGAAUUUUGGGCAAUGGGGGAAACCCUGACCCAGCAACGCCGCGUGAAGGAUGAAGUAUUUCGGUAUGUAAACUUCGAAAGAAUAGGAAGAAUAAAUGACGGUACUAUUUAUAAGGUCCGGCUAACUACGUGCCAGCAGCCGCGGUAAUACGUAGGGACCAAGCGUUGUUCGGAUUUACUGGGCGUAAAGGGCGCGUAGGCGGUGUGUCAAGUCAGUUGUGAAAUCUCCGAGCUUAACUCGGAACGGUCAACUGAUACUGUCACACUAGAGUACAGAAGGGGCAAUCGGAAUUCUUGGUGUAGCGGUGAAAUGCGUAGAUAUCAAGAGGAACACCUGAGGCGAAGGCGGGUUGCUGGGCUGAUACUGACGCUGAGGCGCGAAAGCUAGGGUAGCAAACGGGAUUAGAUAUCCCCGUAGUCCCUGAGCGGGCUGGCAAGGCGCAU
This 447-nucleotide ribosomal RNA is filed under the name uncultured bacterium. Its description in RNAcentral is "bacterial SSU rRNA". It matches the Rfam family "Bacterial small subunit ribosomal RNA", at positions 355 to 825 of the family's 1533-position model. The record is from RNAcentral.